This 546-nucleotide ribosomal RNA is filed under the name uncultured eukaryote. Its description in RNAcentral is "SSU rRNA". It matches the Rfam family "Eukaryotic small subunit ribosomal RNA", at positions 21 to 565 of the family's 1831-position model. The record is from RNAcentral.
CGAUUGUAGUCAUAUGCUUGUCUCAAAGAUUAAGCCAUGCAUGUCUAAGUAUAAGCAAUUAUACCGCGAAACUGCGAAUGGCUCAUUAUAUAAGUUAUCGUUUAUUUGAUAGCACAUUACUACUUGGAUAACCGUGGUAAUUCUAGAGCUAAUACAUGCUAAAAAUCCCGACUUCGGAAGGGAUGUAUUUAUUAGAUUAAAAGCCAACGCCCUUCGGGGCUCUCUGGUGAUUCAUAAUAACCGGUCGAAUCGCAUGGCCUUGCGCCGGCGAUGGUUCAUUCAAAUUUCUUCCCUAUCAACUUUCGAUGCGAGGGUCUUGUCCUCGCAUGGUUGCAACGGGUAACGGAGGGUUAGGGCUCGACCCCGGAGAAGGAGCCUGAGAAACGGCUACUACAUCCAAGGAAGGCAGCAGGCGCGCAAAUUACCCAAUCCCGACACGGGGAGGUAGUGACAAUAAAUACUGAUACAGGGCUCUUUUGGGUCUUGUAAUCGGAAUGAGUACAAUUUAAAUCCCUUAACGAGGAACAAUUGGAGGGCAAGUCUGGA